This 1362-nucleotide ribosomal RNA is filed under the name Salmonella enterica subsp. enterica serovar Kentucky. RNAcentral describes it as "partial 23S ribosomal RNA". It matches the Rfam family "Bacterial large subunit ribosomal RNA", at positions 1578 to 2916 of the family's 2925-position model. Lineage: Bacteria; Pseudomonadati; Pseudomonadota; Gammaproteobacteria; Enterobacterales; Enterobacteriaceae. The record is from RNAcentral.
UACGGUGCUGAAGCAACAAAUGCCCUGCUUCCAGGAAAAGCCUCUAAGCAUCAGGUAACAUCAAAUCGUACCCCAAACCGACACAGGUGGUCAGGUAGAGAAUACCAAGGCGCUUGAGAGAACUCGGGUGAAGGAACUAGGCAAAAUGGUGCCGUAACUUCGGGAGAAGGCACGCUGACACGUAGGUGAAGUGAUUUACUCAUGGAGCUGAAGUCAGUCGAAGAUACCAGCUGGCUGCAACUGUUUAUUAAAAACACAGCACUGUGCAAACACGAAAGUGGACGUAUACGGUGUGACGCCUGCCCGGUGCCGGAAGGUUAAUUGAUGGGGUCAGCGCAAGCGAAGCUCCUGAUCGAAGCCCCGGUAAACGGCGGCCGUAACUAUAACGGUCCUAAGGUAGCGAAAUUCCUUGUCGGGUAAGUUCCGACCUGCACGAAUGGCGUAAUGAUGGCCAGGCUGUCUCCACCCGAGACUCAGUGAAAUUGAACUCGCUGUGAAGAUGCAGUGUACCCGCGGCAAGACGGAAAGACCCCGUGAACCUUUACUAUAGCUUGACACUGAACAUUGAGCCUUGAUGUGUAGGAUAGGUGGGAGGCUUUGAAGUGUGGACGCCAGUCUGCAUGGAGCCGACCUUGAAAUACCACCCUUUAAUGUUUGAUGUUCUAACGUGGACCCGUAAUCCGGGUUGCGGACAGUGUCUGGUGGGUAGUUUGACUGGGGCGGUCUCCUCCUAAAGAGUAACGGAGGAGCACGAAGGUUGGCUAAUCCUGGUCGGACAUCAGGAGGUUAGUGCAAUGGCAUAAGCCAGCUUGACUGCGAGCGUGACGGCGCGAGCAGGUGCGAAAGCAGGUCAUAGUGAUCCGGUGGUUCUGAAUGGAAGGGCCAUCGCUCAACGGAUAAAAGGUACUCCGGGGAUAACAGGCUGAUACCGCCCAAGAGUUCAUAUCGACGGCGGUGUUUGGCACCUCGAUGUCGGCUCAUCACAUCCUGGGGCUGAAGUAGGUCCCAAGGGUAUGGCUGUUCGCCAUUUAAAGUGGUACGCGAGCUGGGUUUAGAACGUCGUGAGACAGUUCGGUCCCUAUCUGCCGUGGGCGCUGGAGAACUGAGGGGGGCUGCUCCUAGUACGAGAGGACCGGAGUGGACGCAUCACUGGUGUUCGGGUUGUCAUGCCAAUGGCACUGCCCGGUAGCUAAAUGCGGAAGAGAUAAGUGCUGAAAGCAUCUAAGCACGAAACUUGCCCCGAGAUGAGUUCUCCCUGAGACUUAGAGUCUCCUGAAGGAACGUUGAAGACGACGACGUUGAUAGGCCGGGUGUGUAAGCGCAGCGAUGCGUUGAGCUAACCGGUACUAAUGAACCGUGAGG